GGAGAAGGCUAUGUUGGCCGGGCGACGGUUGUCCCGGUUUAAGCGUGUAGGCUGGUUUUCCAGGCAAAUCCGGAAAACCAAGGCUGAGGCGUGAUGACGAGGCACUACGGUGCUGAAGCGACAAAUGCCCUGCUUCCAGGAAAAGCCUCUAAGCAUCAGGUAACAUCAAAUCGUACCCCAAACCGACACAGGUGGUCAGGUAGAGAAUACCAAGGCGCUUGAGAGAACUCGGGUGAAGGAACUAGGCAAAAUGGUGCCGUAACUUCGGGAGAAGGCACGCUGAUAUGUAGGUGAAGCGACUUGCUCGUGGAGCUGAAAUCAGUCGAAGAUACCAGCUGGCUGCAACUGUUUAUUAAAAACACAGCACUGUGCAAACACGAAAGUGGACGUAUACGGUGUGACGCCUGCCCGGUGCCGGAAG
Molecule: ribosomal RNA, 421 nt
Filed under: Escherichia coli
Lineage: Bacteria; Pseudomonadati; Pseudomonadota; Gammaproteobacteria; Enterobacterales; Enterobacteriaceae
Description: partial 23S ribosomal RNA
Rfam family: Bacterial large subunit ribosomal RNA
Source: RNAcentral